This 396-nucleotide ribosomal RNA is filed under the name uncultured bacterium. Its description in RNAcentral is "partial 16S ribosomal RNA". It matches the Rfam family "Bacterial small subunit ribosomal RNA", at positions 523 to 918 of the family's 1533-position model. The record is from RNAcentral.
AUACGUAGGGAGCGAGCGUUGUCCGGAAUUACUGGGUGUAAAGGGAGCGUAGGCGGGAGUGCAAGUCAGAUGUGAAAUACAUGGGCUCAACCCAUGGGCUGCAUUUGAAACUGCAUUUCUUGAGUGAAGUAGAGGUAAGCGGAAUUCCUGGUGUAGCGGUUAAAUGCGUAGAUAUCAGGAGGAACAACGGUGGCGAAGGCGGCUUACUGGGCUUUUACUGACGCUGAGGCUCGAAAGCGUGGGGAGGAAACAGGAUUAGAUACCCUGGUAGUCCACGCUGUAAACGAUGAUUACUAGGUGUGGGGGGACUGACCCCUUCCGUGCCGCAGUUAACACAAUAAGUAAUUCACCUGGGGAGUACGGCCGCAAGGUUGAAACUCAAAGGAAUUGACGGGG